RNAcentral lists this ribosomal RNA (727 nucleotides) under uncultured bacterium. Its description in RNAcentral is "bacterial SSU rRNA". It matches the Rfam family "Bacterial small subunit ribosomal RNA", at positions 60 to 780 of the family's 1533-position model. The record is from RNAcentral.
AGUCGAGCGGUAACAGGGGAGCUUGCUCCUGCUGACGAGCGGCGGACGGGUGAGUAACGCGUAGGAAUCUACCUAGUAGAGGGGGACAACAUGUGGAAACGCAUGCUAAUACCGCAUACACCCUAAGGGGGAAAGGAGGGGACUCUUCGGAACCUUCCGCUAUUAGAUGAGCCUGCGUGAGAUUAGCUAGUUGGUAGGGUAAAGGCCUACCAAGGCGACGAUCUCUAACUGGUCUGAGAGGAUGACCAGUCACACUGGGACUGAGACACGGCCCAGACUCCUACGGGAGGCAGCAGUGGGGAAUAUUGGACAAUGGGCGGAAGCCUGAUCCAGCCAUGCCGCGUGUGUGAAGAAGGCCUUAGGGUUGUAAAGCACUUUCAGGGGUGAGGAAGGGUGACUGGCUAAUAUCCAGUUAUCUUGACGUUAGCCCCAGAAGAAGCACCGGCUAACUCUGUGCCAGCAGCCGCGGUAAUACAGAGGGUGCAAGCGUUAAUCGGAAUUACUGGGCGUAAAGCGCGCGUAGGUGGUUUGUUAAGUCGGAUGUGAAAUCCCAGGGCUCAACCUUGGAAUGGCACCCGAUACUGGCUAGCUAGAGUAUGGUAGAGGGGUGUGGAAUUUCCUGUGUAGCGGUGAAAUGCGUAGAUAUAGGAAGGAACAUCAGUGGCGAAGCGACACCCUGGACUAAUACUGACACUGAGUGCGAAAGCGUGGGGAGCAAACAGGAUUA